Molecule: long non-coding RNA, 2138 nt
Filed under: Salmo salar (Atlantic salmon)
Lineage: Eukaryota; Metazoa; Chordata; Actinopteri; Salmoniformes; Salmonidae
Description: lncRNA (ENSSSAG00000106852.1)
Source: RNAcentral
CAUGUCUGAAAGUAGUGAUGGACUGUCUGGCUCGCAUGAGGACCGCCACAGGAAAGGAAGUGUUAGGUGUGCCUAGGCUGAACUUAAUGUGGUUCUUACUGUUACUCAGAGCACAUAUUUCUAUCUUAAAGAUUUCUGGUCAGAUACACAAUAAAAACAAAUACACACAACGUACCUUGGACCAGUCAGAGACCUCCCACUGCGGCCUGCAGCCUUUGCAGCCACACACAGCUCGUCAUACAAUUAGCUGUGAAGCCUGGAGCCAUCAUCUUCCAGCAGCGCACUGUACGGAACUGGUAGCCCUCGCCGCACGUCCUCGAACACUUACCUCCACCGACUGGUCUCCCACCUACAACACAUGGAGAACAAGCCCGCCCAAGUGUAAUGGCUAGCUUAUUAAGGCCUUACCUCAGCGGGCUUACGCAGUCUUAUGGCAUGCAGGAUAACUAGGUUAAAACUCAUGUGGGUCACAAUAGUACAAGAGAAAAGUUAUUCUUUGUGGGAAGAUAAUGGCAGACACUAUCAAGGAGUCAAAGGAGCUACAAACCCAGUAUUAUUGAUUCACACUAGGGCUGUGGCAGUCAUGAAAAUAUGUCAGCCGAUGAUUGCAAAUAACUGCCGGUCACAUGCAUUAUUGGAUGACUCAUUCAUAUUCCAUUUACCCAGUUCAAAGUCACAGCGAUAGGUCAAGGCUACUACAUGAUACUCAAAUUUUGUCCUAUACCCAUCAUGAGGUUGCGACAACCUAGCCUAUGAAUGAAAGUUUUCAACGUAAGUGCACACAGGUCGAGAGACAAAUUUGAGGUGACAGAUAGUGACAUUCAAUACCGCCUUGCACACUGUUGCCUGCAUCUAGCUGAUAUAGGGUGUAAUCAUUAUCCCAACAGUUUCUAUUAGACAAAUUCGGGUAUGUUUUUCCCCAUUUUGUUCCGUCUGCUUUCUGUUUUUCAUCAGAAUCGGCGGAAUGAAUACGACUAGGUAAACGCUUGAGAAAGAACGGAAGAGGGAGAAAUAGAGACAGUGUCGUUCCUGAGACCGCACCCCUCCACCACAGGUCCUGGAGCAGGUGGACCAGCUGCUCCACUCCCCCCACCACUGGGCCACCUCGUCGGGCUGCUGCACUCCUGGUGCUUCUGGCUGUGCUGGCUCUGCCGAUCGACCUCCUCACUCCCAUCACUACUGUCCUGGCAGAGCUAGAGUAUUUUACAUGUGUAUUACACUGUAUGUACAGUAUGCAUAUGUGUGUCUUUUUCUUAUUCUCUCUCUGCCAUUAGGAUGGCAUAAGGGAGAGUUGUGUUGGGAAAAGCCAUGUAGCCCUAACAGUAGGGUUGCUGUGCAGACUGCAACUGGCAGCAGCAGCUGGCUGGACUGUUCCAUUAAACCCGAGGGGGUACGGAAAACUAAAAGACCGAAAAUCACUUUAGGUGGCAUUUGCACAAGAUUUCCCACUGUAAGUAUUCUGUCUGUGUGUGUGUAAGAGGCAGCAGCAAGCAACCCAGUGACAUGAUUGACUUUGCUAUGUUGCCUCUAUUCCUGAAGUGUUUCCUCCCUACAUGAACAAGCACACAGUGGGGAGUGUUUCCCUAAACACAUUAUCACCACUAAUGGUGCUGAGGCUCACUUUCCACCCGACGAAUCUGUUAACACGUGUUUAUCACUGACUGAAACAGAGUCCAAAAAUGGCUGCUGCUACCUCCUGGGGUGUACCUUAAAACCUAUAGACUUUCAGGGUUUACGCCAAUUAAUGAACAAUGGACAAUAUAUGGAGGUGUCAUACGUACUGGCAAUGUUUACUUGUGUGGCUACAGCACAAUGAAUCCAUUUGGGCUAAAUAUGGCAAUGUAAGUUGGUAGCUAUCCCCCUACUAAUUGUUGUUUCAUUUUGUGUUUCUUUUCUGCUACUGGCAAGGAGAGAUGGCCAGUCCCAUAUGGGCUACCACUACACAAUGUCUUCCUGUUGAUUCCUGUUCUCCUCUGUUUAGGCUACUCCCAGGGAGGACUUGCCCUACAGGCAAUGAUGAGUUAUUAUAUAAGAUUAGGCUUGCAUAUCUUCUUUUUGAUUUCAUUUUCUUUCUUUUUUCCUCAUUACCCUUACUCAUCAAGUCUGAUAACUUCAUUGUAAAGGUCUGGAUUGGUUAC